RNAcentral lists this ribosomal RNA (301 nucleotides) under uncultured bacterium. Its description in RNAcentral is "partial 16S ribosomal RNA". It matches the Rfam family "Bacterial small subunit ribosomal RNA", at positions 509 to 807 of the family's 1533-position model. The record is from RNAcentral.
CAGCCGCCGCGGUAAUACAGAGGGUGCGAGCGUUAAUCGGAUUUACUGGGCGUAAAGCGUGCGUAGGCGGCUAAUUGAGUCGGAUGUGAAAUCCCCGAGCUUAACUUGGGAAUUGCAUUCGAUACUGGUUAGCUAGAGUGUGGGAGAGGAUGGUAGAAUUCCAGGUGUAGCGGUGAAAUGCGUAGAGAUCUGGAGGAAUACCGAUGGCGAAGGCAGCCAUCUGGCCUAACACUGACGCUGAGGUACGAAAGCAUGGGGAGCAAACAGGAUUAGAGACCCCUGUAGUCCCUGUCUCUUAUAC